UACGAAGGGGGCUAGCGUUGUUCGGAAUUACUGGGCGUAAAGCGCACGUAGGCGGAUAUUUAAGUCAGGGGUGAAAUCCCGCAGCUCAACUGCGGAACUGCCUUUGAUACUGGGUAUCUCGAGUAUGGAAGAGGUGAGUGGAAGUCCGAGUGUAGAGGUGAAAGUCGUAGAUAUUCGGAGGAACACCAGUGGCGAAGGCGGCUCAAUGGUCCAGUACUUAAUCGGAGGUGCGAACGCUGUGUGAGCCAACAGGAUUCGAUCCCAGCGGAGUCC
This 273-nucleotide ribosomal RNA is filed under the name uncultured bacterium. RNAcentral describes it as "partial 16S ribosomal RNA". It matches the Rfam family "Bacterial small subunit ribosomal RNA", at positions 524 to 796 of the family's 1533-position model. The record is from RNAcentral.